Haliotis rubra (blacklip abalone) is the source of this 1194-nucleotide long non-coding RNA. RefSeq lists it as uncharacterized. The record is from RefSeq and is a predicted model, not a curated record. Lineage: Eukaryota; Metazoa; Mollusca; Gastropoda; Lepetellida; Haliotidae. The transcript is spliced from 5 exons.
GAUUCAAGCCACUGACUGAGAACCACUACGAUUGGUCAACCGCAUAAAUCCGUGGGUGGAUAACGGAACUUCAUACCCGGAUUCAAGCCACUAUAAAUCUUGCUGGAGACAUGUGUUCGCUACCCAGGCUCUGACAACAGACAAGAUACGACGAUCAACAAACCUUGGUUUGAAAGUUCCAGAUACCUGCAGCAACAUGAGCGUUCAACCAGAAAUAAAAGUUGUCUUGUACAGCAAUACCAACCUCACUGGCGACUGUGUACCAGUCUCUGCAGACAUACCCGAUUUGACAAUCUUUAAGAACAGGGCUCAGUCAGCCAUUGUAAUCCAUGGAAGAUGGGAGCUGAAAAGCGCUGCGGGAAAUACAUACCCUCUUGACGAGACAGUCGGAAAGUAUACUGACUUAGGUACUUUCAAACAACAGGCCGUGUCCAUCACCCGUGUAUAAGGCGCCGUUGACAUGAAGGAGACCCUCCCGACAAAAGGACAUACCAGCCACCUGCAUUUCUGCAUUUUCCUCUGCACUUUCCUGUACUCUUAAUUUUCCUUUACUCCAGAUUAUUAUGCUUUUAAUGUCUAACGUUUAGCUAUGCUUAAGUGGGUUUGCUUGAGGUGGGGAUAGGAAUCGACGUAGGUUGUAAGGGUGUGGUUAUGACAGUGUUCAGAGACACAGGGUGUACUCUCACUGCCUCUUUUGGACAGUUUUGUAAGUCAAAAAUCACGAAUGGUCAUACUACCUACAGAUAAACUCGACAGAGCAAUUACAUCAUCUCAAUCCCAACAAUGUUGUCUUUAAUUUCACAGUAAAAUGAUUAUUAAAAAAAACGAUGCAGAAAAUUAUUGCUCCUUUCUAUUCUGUAGUGCUCGGUGUAAUGUUAACUUUUCCACCUGUGCGCUUUGCUUCACAUAUACUAUGAUUCGUUUUGAACAAUGAAAGCUAAAAAGAUGAAGGUCAUAUUGCGUUGUUGAAAUUAAGUCUUAAAUUGAAGAAGUUGUAUUGAUAUUUGAACAUGCGUAGAGCAAAAUUAGAAGCAGUCCAUUUUAAAGCGCUCGCUACUCUUUUGAUGAUGAAUUUUCUGCCCUCAGUGUUGUACAUUAUGUUAUUUGACACUAUACAGAGUAAAGAAAUAAUAGACAAAAGUGGGGAAAAUUGUGAUUCCUUUCGUUGUUGAAAAUAAACAUUUGAUGAAAUUU